Molecule: ribosomal RNA, 402 nt
Filed under: uncultured bacterium
Lineage: Bacteria
Description: bacterial SSU rRNA
Rfam family: Bacterial small subunit ribosomal RNA
Source: RNAcentral
AAGAGGAAGUUUUCGGAUGGAAUCUUAUUGAUUUAGCGGCGGACGGGUGAGUAACGCGUGNNGUCAACCUUUGCACAGGGGGAUAACGGACCGAAAGUCACUAAUACCGCAUGAGACCACGGUGUUGCAUGACACAGAGGUCAAAGGAGCAAUCGGUGCAAGACGGGCUCGCGUCCGAUUAGGUAGUUGGUGGGGUAACGGCCCACCAAGCCUAUGAUCGGUAGCCGACCUGAGAGGGUGAUCGGCCACAUUGGAACUGAGAUACGGUCCAAAACUCCUACGGGAGGCAGCAGUGGGGAUAUUGGGCAAUGGGGGAAACCCUGACCCAGCAACGCCGCGUGAAGGAAGAAGGUUUUCGGAUUGUAAACUUCUGUCCUUGGUAGAAGAGAAGAAGACGGUAGC